CCCACCAUGCCUCUCAUCGAUGCACACUUUGGUGGGU
Molecule: small RNA, 37 nt
Filed under: Flavobacterium fontis
Lineage: Bacteria; Pseudomonadati; Bacteroidota; Flavobacteriia; Flavobacteriales; Flavobacteriaceae
Description: abiF RNA
Rfam family: abiF RNA
Source: Rfam by way of RNAcentral